CCCUCUAUUUACUACAGGGCUGCGUCUAAAUGUGAUUAGGUGUACCCCGUGCCAGUGCUUCUGCGUCUGGAGUCACAGACUGCUAAAAGAGAAAUGGCUCAGGAAAUAUACCCACAGUUCUACUUCCUCUCAGUGUGCAAUGGAAGACUCGUUGAUUUUACUGGAUCAGCUCCAGCAUGCAGAAGACCUGGGGGUGUUCUUUGGAGAAUGUGCUUUUUCAAUGGGAUUAAACUGCAUAAAUAA
RNAcentral lists this long non-coding RNA (243 nucleotides) under Vulpes vulpes (red fox). RNAcentral describes it as "lncRNA (ENSVVUG00000020052.1)". Lineage: Eukaryota; Metazoa; Chordata; Mammalia; Carnivora; Canidae. The record is from RNAcentral.